CACGUGGGUAACCUGCCUGUAAGACUGGGAUAACUCCGGGAAACCGGGGCUAAUACCGGAUGCUUGUUUGAACCGCAUGGUUCAAACAUAAAAGGUGGCUUCGGCUACCACUUACAGAUGGACCCGCGGCGCAUUAGCUAGUUGGUGAGGUAAUGGCUCACCAAGGCGACGAUGCGUAGCCGACCUGAGAGGGUGAUCGGCCACACUGGGACUGAGACACGGCCCAGACUCCUACGGGAGGCAGCAGUAGGGAAUCUUCCGCAAUGGACGAAAGUCUGACGGAGCAACGCCGCGUGAGUGAUGAAGGUUUUCGGAUCGUAAAGCUCUGUUGUUAGGGAAGAACAAGUACCGUUCGAAUAGGGCGGUACCUUGACGGUACCUAACCAGAAAGCCACGGCUAACUACGUGCCAGCAGCCGCGGUAAUACGUAGGUGGCAAGCGUUGUCCGGAAUUAUUGGGCGUAAAGGGCUCGCAGGCGGUUUCUUAAGUCUGAUGUGAAAGCCCCCGGCUCAACCGGGGAGGGUCAUUGGAAACUGGGGAACUUGAGUGCAGAAGAGGAGAGUGGAAUUCCACGUGUAGCGGUGAAAUGCGUAGAGAUGUGGAGGAACACCAGUGGCGAAGGCGACUCUCUGGUCUGUAACUGACGCUGAGGAGCGAAAGCGUGGGGAGCGAACAGGAUUAGAUACCCUGGUAGUCCACGCCGUAAACGAUGAGUGCUAAGUGUUAGGGGGUUUCCGCCCCUUAGUGCUGCAGCUAACGCAUUAAGCACUCCGCCUGGGGAGUACGGUCGCAAGACUGAAACUCAAAGGAAUUGACGGGGGCCC
RNAcentral lists this ribosomal RNA (824 nucleotides) under Bacillus cereus. RNAcentral's name for it is "bacterial SSU rRNA". It matches the Rfam family "Bacterial small subunit ribosomal RNA", at positions 114 to 922 of the family's 1533-position model. The record is from RNAcentral. Lineage: Bacteria; Bacillati; Bacillota; Bacilli; Caryophanales; Bacillaceae. RNAcentral also lists the same sequence under 1 other name.